RNAcentral lists this ribosomal RNA (371 nucleotides) under uncultured bacterium. RNAcentral's name for it is "bacterial SSU rRNA". It matches the Rfam family "Bacterial small subunit ribosomal RNA", at positions 29 to 429 of the family's 1533-position model. The record is from RNAcentral.
AACGAACGCUGGCGGCAUGCCUAACACAUGCAAGUCGAACGAGACCUUCGGGUCUAGUGGCGCACGGGUGCGUAACGCGUGGGAAUCUGCCCUUGGGUUCGGAAUAACAGUUAGAAAUGACUGCUAAUACCGGAUAAUGUCUUCGGACCAAAGAUUUAUCGCCCAGGGAUGAGCCCGCGUAGGAUUAGCUAGUUGGUGAGGUAAAGGCUCACCAAGGCGACGAUCCUUAGCUGGUCUGAGAGGAUGAUCAGCCACACUGGGACUGAGACACGGCCCAGACUCCUACGGAGGCAGCAGUGGGGAAUAUUGCGCAAUGGGCGGAAAGCCUGACGCAGCGACGCCGCGUGGGUGAUGAAGGCCUCGGUCGUAAG